GUGUAUCCAAGGUUUAAAAAUGGUGAAGGAACUGUGAGGGAUGUCAGAGUUAAGCCCAAAUUUGAGUAUGUGGAUGAAUUAUUUGAGAGUGUGUUGCUGUCAAUAAAAGACAAAGACGCAUUAUCAAAUUCACAAAAUUUUUUGAAAGAAAUGUCCCACCACCAAUGAAUGUCAUGCUGCCAAAGCAACCCAGAUCUGAGGUGAUACUAAAACAGGUCCGUUGAAAAUGCAUUGUGGUCAAUGAUGUCCCCCCCUCAAUUCCAGCAGCUACAAGUGUGCCAUUCAGCUGUCAGUCAAAUGUGGCAGUUUCAAAA
This is a long non-coding RNA of Xenia sp. Carnegie-2017, 314 nucleotides long. RefSeq lists it as uncharacterized. NCBI's taxonomy places the organism in Eukaryota, Metazoa, Cnidaria, Anthozoa, Malacalcyonacea, Xeniidae. The transcript is spliced from 3 exons. The record is from RefSeq and is a predicted model, not a curated record.